UAGAAGGUGACUUUCUCCAUAGCUGACCCUGUUCAACCUCAGGAAGGAUGAUAACUCUCCGGGAUGUGAGGGAUGUGAGACCCCACCCAAACCCUCUGCGGAGUCAGUGUCCAUGCAAGGAAGAGAAGCCAGGGGCCAAAGACCUAGAAACCACAUUCCCUGGGAAUAGAGAUGCAAGACUCUGCUCCUGUUCCCAUCCAAGGCUUUGACUAAGACCUUGCUGAGGCCUGGAGAACUCGCGUGCUUCCUCUAAAGCCCAGACCGAAGACACCUCCUCUGGAAAGCCUACGCUGACCGGUGAUGGCUGUCCUGCCAGAUGGCCAAGCUGCAUUCUGCCAGGACAGGCUCAUACCCUUCGGGCUGGCCAUGUCGGGACGUGCCAGACCAGCUGCCAGGGCCUGGGGCCUCUUUUGAGGCUUUGACUUGGCCCCCACCCUGGUUCGUGGACCUGUUAUUUCCCCAUGCUGAGCUUCAAGGUUCUGAGGCCAGAGACAGGGUCCUAGUCAAGUUUGAGGCCUCAGAUCCAACACCAUGACCCAGCCCAGUGCUUUUGUGCGUGGAAUGAAGGAAUCCUGACCAUGCUGGGCUGAGACCUGCCAGGGCAAGGGCCCCAGGAGUAGGCACAGGGCCCUGGGGCAUAGCCAUCCUGCCCUGGCCUAUCCCUGCCCCAUGCCUGAGCCCUAUGCUAAGAGCAAGUUCCUGUUGCAAGCUGUACCCUGUCCCAGACACGUGGCAUUUACCAAAAGGGCAGAGACAGUGAGAAGGGCCUCCCCUGUGCCAUCCACUCACAAAGGGGCUGGAAAGGCCAGCAAGAAGGAGAGGAGUCAUAUUUCAAAGGGCUCUGAAGAUGUCACAAUGACGGCAAUGCUCACCACCUCAAACCGCCCAAGGAGCCAUAUCCAGACUAGACAAUAUAAGAAACAGCUGCAGAGCAGCCAGAGGACAGCAACCCUACCCCAGAAAUGGACAUGAGAGAUAAACAGACAAUUAAACAAUUGAGGCCAGGAGUUCGAGACCAGACUGGGCAACAUAGUGAGAAUCUGCCUCUUUAAAAAAAUGUUAAAAUUAGCUGGGCAAGGUAGGGUAGUGUGUGCCUAUAGUCCUAACUACUGAGGAGACUGAGGUGGGAGGAUCACUUGAGCAGAAGUUGAAGGCUACAGUGAGCUAUGAUCACACCAUAGCACUCCAGCCUGGGUGACAGAGUGAGAUCCUGUCUCAAAAAAAAAAAAAAAAAAAAGAAAAGAAAAGAUGCUGAAAAUCAUUAUACAUCACUCUACCUCUAGUAGAUGGGAAAAAUUCGAAAGCUGGAUAAAGCCCAGCAUUGGUGGGGAUGUGAGUGACAGCCCCAUCCCCACAGGGCAUGUACUAGGGGAAUUUGGCAGCUCAUUCAUAGAGUGGGUGGACAGGAAAAUGUGUGGCUGCACAUCAUAGGGUUCCAUGUAGCAGUUGGAAGCAACAAGGCUAGAUUUUAUUUUGAUUGAUUGAUUGACUGCACUCCGUCACCCAGGCUGGAGUGCAGUAGCAUAAUCAUAGCUCACUGCAGCCUCCAACUCCUGGGCUUAAGUGAUCCUCCCGCCUCAGCCUCUCAAGUAGCUGGGACUACAGUUGUACAUCACCAUGCCCAGCUCAAGGCUAGAUUUUAUACAGUGUUGACUCAAUGAGAUCUAUAACACAAUGACAUUUAUCAAAGUAAAAAGAAAAAUACGUGCUUACAAAAGAGUAAUGCCCACCUGCAGGAACCAUACAAACAAAGGCAUCAAAGACAGUAAAAUGGGGAAACAAAAGAAGGGUGUGAGGAAGGGAGGAAAGGAAUAAACACCAAACGAGAAAGGUCAGUGAUGCCAGUGAGCCUGCCAUGGCCUGAGUAACACUAGCCACACCCCCGGUCCACAAUGAGGACCACAUCUGAGGUCCACAGGGAGGAACAGUCCCCAAGGUCCUCAGCGCAGGCUCAGGUGGAGCCAGGAGCCGCUUCCAUGAGGGUCAGAUCUGGGCCUAACCUCAGAGCUUGCCCCUCCCCGCACCCUCCACAGCAGAGGAGGCUCUUGGCCAAAGUCAAGCUGCUGUACACGCAGGGUCGCACCCACCUUGGGCCCCUUUUAUGCCCUGGAAGUGGAAGAGGACAGACCUCAAACUAGAGCAGUGAUUCUGCCCUGAGCUGGGUGCCAGGAGAAAAUGGGAAGCAAGUCCUCACUCUUACAAAAGUUCCUGGGAGGUCAGGCGCAGUGGCUCAUGCCUGUAAUCCCAGCACUUUUGGGGGCAAAGGCAAGAGGAUUGCUUGAGGCCAGGAGCUCAAGACCAGCCUGGCCAGCAUAUUGAGACCCCCAUCUCUAAAAACAUUUUUUUUUUAAUUAGCUGGAUAUGGUGGCUUGCGUCUGUAGUCUCAGUUACUCAGGAGGCUGAGGCAGGAGGUUGAUUUGAGCCCAGGAGGUCCAGGCUGCAGUGAGCUAUGAUCACACCACUGCACUCCAGCCUGUGUGACAGAGUAAGACCCUGUCUCAACUUUUUAAAAAAAAAUUCCUGGAAUUCAGGUAAUUUUUUUUUUCUUUAAGGAGAGUCUUUAUCUUUAGACACACAUUUAGAAAAAUCUGUGAAAUGAUAUAAUGUUAUAAAUGUGCUUCAAAAUCUAGGUGUGGUGGCAGGGGAGAGGGGGCAAGUAGGUGGAUGAAACCAGCUUGGUGAUAAAUUGAUAGCUGCUGAGUCUGGGAAUGAGUGCGUGGGGUUCAUUAUACCUUAUUCUCUAUUUGUGCACGUGUUUCAGAGUUUCCAUAAUAAAAACUUCAAAAAGAAAAACUUCCCAGUAAGAAACUCUCCCAUGUGAGGGGACUAGCCCCUGACCUCAGGGAACCCCACCCAGUCUGCCAGGGGACACACAACCCCUGCCCUGCAUCUUCUUAGCCUGCCUCGGCUGGCCAGGGGCCGCAUUGUAGGACACAGCCAUGGGGGUCCUGACAAAUGCUCAGCCUCGGACCUGGCCUUAUCACUGAAGCCAAGGGUCAGGCACUGGAGCCACAUCUGAGCAGACCUGGUUCUGGUUCCAGCUCCACCUUGCACGUAGCCUGAGGCACCUCACCUGAACCACACCUGCCUGGAUCCAAGUCCUGGGUCAUUAUCAGUGAGAAAGUCCUCCUGCUCUUACUGUGGCUGCUCCUCUCACUGCCUCUGCCUCCACGUCUGUAUGAUGAGGACUGGAAUCACCAGGCAAGUUUGCAAAUUAAAUGAGGCAAUGCUCAGUGUGCACUCAGACAGAGCUGCCAGGACCAGGGGAGGGAGCUGGCCAGGGUCAUACAGCCAGCUAGUGGCAAAACUGGGUUCUUCACGGGAGCAGGGCACCGUGCCAGCUGCCACUCCCAUCCCCCACCAUGAGGCCUUCAGGCCAGUGGACAGCAUGUCUUCUUUCAGAGUCUGAGGCCGUGUCCCUGAGACCCUGCCCUCCAGCCCCAACUCCCAUUCCAGGAGCCUCUGACUCAGGAGAGCACCAGGAAGCCUGCGUGGGCCAGAUGCAAGCCAGGAAGGACAGGGCUGGGGAAGAAGGAGGCAGAAGCCUCUAUCCUGCCCUCCCGGAACACAGAGGUAUCCAGGUACAUCAGUCUGGGAGGGUGCACCCAGACUCAGGGACUCUACCAGGAGACUGCUGGGUGACUCCUAAGUCAGGAGUCUUAGCCUUGCCUGGCCUUUCCUUUAAUUAACAAUAAUAAUAGUCAACAUUUGUAUACCUCCUACUGUGUACAAGGCAGUGUUCUGCUUUAGGUGUAUUAUCUCAUUUAAUUCUCACAACAACCCUAAGAGGCCAAUGCUAUUAUUGUCUUCAUUUUACAGAUGGGGAAACCUAGGCAAAGAGAGGGUAAGUAACUUUCCCAAAGUCACUCAGCUUGCACACAGCAGAGCUAGGAUUUGGCCCCAGCCAGCCUGCCUUGAGUUUGUGCUCUUACCCACCCCAGCGCACUCUCAGACAGCAUGGCCUGGCUUUUCCUGAGCCAGCGCUUCUGAUUCCCCCUGGGGUAUAACAGCUGAUACCCUGUUUAUACCACAACACCUGGGAUGGGAGCUUCACCCAGGGGUGGCAGUGCUAGUACCCGGGCAGCACUCCCACCUUGUCUCUUACUCGGGAAAGCAGAGCAGAAGGUAAGCGGGAAUAACGCUAUCAGAGGGAUGGGUUUUUAACUCAUUAUUUUCUCUUCUUCUUUUUUGUUGUUGUUGUUGAGAUAGGGUGUC
Molecule: long non-coding RNA, 4215 nt
Filed under: Homo sapiens (human)
Lineage: Eukaryota; Metazoa; Chordata; Mammalia; Primates; Hominidae
Description: HSALNT0106537
Source: RNAcentral